RNAcentral lists this long non-coding RNA (2969 nucleotides) under Salmo salar (Atlantic salmon). Its description in RNAcentral is "lncRNA (ENSSSAG00000098182.1)". Lineage: Eukaryota; Metazoa; Chordata; Actinopteri; Salmoniformes; Salmonidae. The record is from RNAcentral.
AAGGGCACAAGGCGAGACCCAGAUGCAGACACAGUAGGCAGAUGGUUUGAGUCUCUGAUAUUUAUUACAAUCCAAGGGGUAGGCAAGUUCAUGGACAGUCAAAAGAUCAAAACCAGGUCGGAGUCCAGGAGGUACAGAGUGGCAGGGAGGCUCAAGGGCAGGGCAAGCAGAAUGGUCAGGCAGGCGGGUUCAGAGUCCAGACAGGCAAGGGUCACAAUCAGGGGGGGCUAUCAAAACAGAGCGAAGGGAAAAAGCAGGAGAACGGGAAACAACACACUGGUUGACUUGACAAACAAGACAAACUGGCAACAAGCAGGGAACACAGGAAUAAGUACCCAGGGACUUAUGAGGAAAACACCUGGAGAAGGGUGGAGACAAUCACAAAGUCAGGUGAAACAGAUCAGGGUGUGACACUGUUACAUACAAGGACCAGGGGUGGAAUUUCCACAUUUUGACUGUGACAUAUUUUCCCUUUCCAAAAACUCUUUCCCCUAUACCUUUUCAGGCCUCUGGGAUUUGUGGUGAGAACAGAGAACAACUGAGCACAUUACAACACACACUGGAACCUGUCCCAGUCAUCACAACCAUGGACAUGAGGUCACAGAACAUCUCCCUCUUACUCAACCUACCCAAGAUAUCACAGGCUCUCCUUAAAUGAUUUGCCUAAGAUUUGCCUAAUCAAAGUGAAUUCUUCCGCUGCUCUAUGUUCGCUACAUAGAUCAGUCUUAAACUGCCAUCAUUAAAAAAAAAAAAACCUAACCCUAACCCAAAAUAAGGGGUAUUGUACAAAACAAAAUAACCAGUGAUUGGAUCAUAAAAGCCUGUGACAAAUUUUCAAACCACUGCUUUACCCACGUGUGUUCUGGCUCUGGCCCAGCCCAUCGAUUUCUGGGACCAGCGCUAGCAGCGCUAGCUAACCUCAUAUCUGAAUUCCAUUCUAGAAUUCGUAGGGGAGGAACUCAGAGCCAGAUUCAGAAACGGGAUUAAAUUAUUCUGGCCCGGGAGCCCCGAGUUGGCGUGUUUCGCACCGGGUGAAAAUUGAUUGCAUUCGUUUUGGAACCGGGCUGCCUCCCAGGCGUGAGCCAGGUGCCCUACUCAAAGCCCAUGGCGAAGUUGGCUCAAAUGAAACGUGAAGUAAUUAGCACGUGGAGUAAUGAGUAGGAUUAUGUUUUGUCAAAUGCAAACGUGAUUGCUUUUGAUAAAAACGCUAUAUCUGCCUUCCCAAUGAAAACUAGUUAGAAAUGUCAAACAUAUUGUAGCGACCCUGGUUUAUUAACAUGGACUUUCGACUCUGCCACUUGAGCAGGCUUUUGUGGCACAGUCGAUGGCGGGCUGGACUUUGAGGGUUCAAGAUGUGUUCCCUGCCUGUUUCAUUACAUUGGUGUUGGAAGGGAUCUGACCUGCCAUCCAUGACAAUGUGUGUGCUUGGCCAGUGACCACGUUCCUGUAAGACUGCGUCCUAUGGUGUAGUGUGAGGACGCGCUCUUUGAGGGAGUUGUGUAGCGACCCAUGUUUAUAAGCGAAGAUAUCGACUUUGUCACUUGAGCAUGCCUUUAUGGCACAGUCGAGACGCGCUGGACAAGGCCCGCACGCUGGUGGCAGCCCGGGAUGGCACUAAACAGUUCCCCAUGCAUUGCCAACCAACCCGGAUGUAAUAUAAUUCUGGCCACAUUUUGACUCAGUGGCGCUUCUCGGUGCAGGACGUGGAAGGGGGAGGGAUGCACACACUAAACAGGAACAGGAACAUGAAUAGGUGCAUCACCGGUCACUGAGCUAGCAAGCUAAAGUUAGCUAGUUAGUCACAUAAAUGUACGUUCAGCCUGUUAAUUAUUUCUGUCCGAUUUGACUUAUCUUACGAAGUCAGCAUGGCUUAACAUAGUUUCUUUCGUUUUUGACCUCGACAUUGUUCCUCGAUAGGUAUUUUCAUAGCUAUCAUGCUGUCGCUGUUAGCUAGCUAAUGCUAGCAGCGCUAGCUAACCUCAUAUCUGGAUGCCUCACUCUAGUUCCCGAAAGAGAGCAGCAUACUGAUCUGCCAACCUGCUCGGUGGGUGACAGGUAACCGUCUUUCCACCAAGCUGUUCCAGGCCUGGAGUGCCACGCUGGAACUUCCAGAGGCUUGUAGACCUGAAGCAGUGUGAUGUGGUCCUGGUAAUUAUCAAACACACAUAUACACACUCAAUCACUCACUCUGUCUUGUUGUAUAAUUAUUUUAAAGUAAGAAAAUUGUUCCUCUCUGUCGUCUGCUCCUGCAUCUGCUACACUGGCCACAACAUGUGAUACAGAUCUGCCACGCCCAGUAGUUCAGCUGCAGUCACAGCAGUCUUCUGCUGUGGUAGUUAAUUUACCGGCUGCACCAAUGCCUACUACACUGGCCGUGAAAGGAGAAACCUUUUGGUAUUCCUUGAUGGAUACAGAUCUUCCAUGCACUCCACCACUGCCUGACAGCCUCACCCAGAAGUGCAUACACGGGGCCUAUCAGAGAUGGGUGGCUGUUAAGGAAAAAUAAAACAUGCACACACACACACAUUAUCCACAAUGUAAAUAAGUUGUAAUUACUUAAUAUUUGCUCCAUUUUAUUUUAGGAUUAUAGAUAUCUACUCCUUUAUAGCCAUUCUCAAUAUCUACAUAAUUACUCAAACUAUCUAUCAAAUCAAAGUGUGAUUGAUAAUAUUGUAAAAGACUAUGGCUUAAUGUGUACAGUUUGAGGAAAUUAUGAGUGCUUUUUUUCUGAGUUGAAAAACAUGCCUCGCUCACACACAUUGGACCCAAUGUAAAUCAGUUGUAAUAACUUGUUUAUUUUAUGUAUGGUUAAUUUUAUUUGAGGAAAAUAUCUGCAAUAAAGUACAUUCACAGUUAAAGCAAUGUCUAUUUCUCAGAAUACAAUGUGUGUUCAGAAGGAAGUCGGCAGACCUGCAACCCUUGGACUGUGUGCAGGUUUUGUCAUCUGGAUAUGGGGAGGAAGAGUGCAG